Molecule: ribosomal RNA, 460 nt
Filed under: uncultured bacterium
Lineage: Bacteria
Description: partial 16S ribosomal RNA
Rfam family: Bacterial small subunit ribosomal RNA
Source: RNAcentral
CCUACGGGUGGCAGCAGUGAGGAAUAUUUGUCAAUGGACGAGAGUCUGAACCUGCCAAGUAGCGUGAAGGAUUACUGCCCUUUGGGUUGUAAACUUCUUUUAUAAAGGAAUAAAACGAGGCACGUGUGCCUUUUUGCAUGUACUUUAUGAAUACUGAUCGUCUAACUCCGUGCCAGCAGCCGCGGUAAUACUGAGGAUCCGAGCGUUUUCCGGAUUGAUUGGGUUUAAGGGGAGCGUAGAUGGGUUGGUAAGUCAGUUGUGAAAGGUCGGGGCUCAACCGUAAAAUUGCAAUUGAGACUGGCAGUCUGGAGUAAAGGUGAGGGAGGCGGAAUUCGUGGUGUAGCGGUGAAAUGCUUAGAUAUCACGAAGAACCCCGAUUGCGAAGGCAGCUUACUAAACUGUGACUGACAUUGAUGCUCGAAAGUGUGGGUAUCAAAAAGGAUUAGAUACCCCUGUAGUC